CAGUGGGGAGCUCUGUUCUCUGGACUGCACCUGAGGCGAGACAGGAUAGCGUGGAGACCAAACUAGAUAACAUACUAGUGCACUCCGUAAACUAAGGGAUGAAUGCGUGGGGUCGGGAGUCAUACUUCGCUGCAGCAGUUACAACAAUAAGCACUCCAGGGGGGGAGUGCGGCAACAAGGAUGAUCAUCAAAGGAAUCGACGGGGACCCCCACCAGCAGAGCAGCAUGUUUAUUACUUCGCUGCAAGACGAACAUCACCACCACGUCUCGUCAUUCCUCGGACCUGAGUAGAAAUAGUCCUUUCCUUUGAGUGCCGAAGAGGCCAGGUGUUCCAUGUUUUUGUUCAGUUCUGUUCUUAGAAUGUUGGGUUAAUUCCCCCACGAAGGCCAACCCUAUCCUUUAUUGCCAACCAGUUGGGUGGUCCAUUUUGGAAGGACUCCGGGGAUUAAUUGGAAGAAAGGGGGGGAGGAGUUAAAUUCUUCAUCCCCUUUAUUCUUGGGGUACCACACGUGUACAAAUGUUCGAAACAGAGGGAAGCCACCUCGCAAGAGAGAGCUAAUCCCACAAACCAGAUCCCAGUUCGGAUUGUGGGCUGCAAUUCGCCCACAUGAAGCCGGAGUUGCUAGUAAUCGCGAAUCAGCAUGUCGCGGUGAAUGCGUUCCCGGGCCUUGUACACACCGCCCGUCACACCAUGGAAGUUGGCAGCACCCGAAGCCGGUGACCCAACCAUAAGGGAGGAGCCGUCGAAGGUGAGGUCAAUGACUGGGGUGAAGUCGUAACAAGGUAGCCAAGGGCGAUCC
Molecule: ribosomal RNA, 800 nt
Filed under: uncultured Sporanaerobacter sp.
Lineage: Bacteria; Bacillati; Bacillota; Tissierellia; Tissierellales; Sporanaerobacteraceae
Description: bacterial SSU rRNA
Rfam family: Bacterial small subunit ribosomal RNA
Source: RNAcentral